UUUGAGCUAAUACCGGAUAAUGUCUUCGGACCAAAGAUUUAUCGCCUUUAGAUGGGCCCGGCGUUGGAUUAGCUAGUUGGUGGGGUAAAGGCCUACCAAGGCGACGAUCCCAUAGCUGGUCUGAGAGGAUGAUCAGCCACACUGGGACUGAGACACGGCCCAGACUCCUACGGGAGGCAGCAGUGGGGAAUAUUGGACAAUGGGCGAAAGCCUGAUCCCAGCAAUGCCGCGUGAGUGAUGAAGGCCCUUAGGGUUGUAAAGCUCUUUUACCCGAGAUGAUAAUGACAGUAUCGGGAGAAUAAGCUCCGGCUAACUCCGUG
Molecule: ribosomal RNA, 320 nt
Filed under: uncultured bacterium
Lineage: Bacteria
Description: bacterial SSU rRNA
Rfam family: Bacterial small subunit ribosomal RNA
Source: RNAcentral